The sequence is a ribosomal RNA, 436 nucleotides long. It matches the Rfam family "Bacterial small subunit ribosomal RNA", at positions 341 to 792 of the family's 1533-position model.
ACGGGAGGCAGCAGUGGGGAAUAUUGGGCAAUGGGCGAAGGCCUGACCCAGCAACGCCGCGUGAAGGAAGAAGGUCUUCGGAUUGUAAACUUCUUUUAUGAGGACGAAGGACGCGACGGUACCUCAUGAAUAAGCCACGGCUAACUACGAGCCAGCAGCCGCGGCAAUACGUAGGUGGCGAGCGUUAUCCGGAUUUACUGGGUGUAAAGGGCGCGUAGGCGGGGAUGCAAGUCAGAUGUGAAAUCUAUGGGCUUAACCCAUAAACUGCAUUUGAAACUGGAUCUCUUGAGUGCUGGAGAGGUAGAUGGAAUUCCUUGUGUAGCGGUGAAAUGCGUAGAUAUAAGGAAGAACACCGGUGGCGAAGGCGGUCUACUGGACAGUAACUGACGCUGAGGCGCGAAGGCGUGGGGAGCAAACAGGAUUAGAUACCCUGGUA